Molecule: long non-coding RNA, 1954 nt
Organism: Papio anubis (olive baboon)
Lineage: Eukaryota; Metazoa; Chordata; Mammalia; Primates; Cercopithecidae
Source: Ensembl
ACACCACACAGCCCUGCUGUCCCGUUUCUCUGGGACUGGAUCCUGCCUGGCCCACUGAGUCCCUGCCCCAGUGCUGCAGCUCUGAGCCUGGCGGGAUCCCUCCUCUCCCAUGAGGCCUCGCGCCCAACGGAAAUGCUCAACAGAAAUCCUCGUCCAGUCCACUGCCUCUCCUCCCCUCAGACUCUUCCGGAGGGGUGCCAUUGGCUGCACCCUCUGCCUGUCUCCAGGGUCUCCAUGAAUCACCAGUCUCAGAAAAGCAGUCAAGCCCUUUGAAGAGAAGACACCUGCCCACACGUGCUACCUCCACCUCCCCACUUUGGAGUCACCUUGCACUCCUACUAUUUGAUGAGGGGAAGAGGCAUCAGAGAUCUCUUUUUCUACCUGUGCACAGAGAAGAGGCCAUGAGAACACACAGCAAGAAGGCAACCAUCUGCAAGCCAGGAAGAGAGCCUUCACCAGAAUCCAACCCUUACAGGACCUUGAUUCUGGACCUCCAGCCUUCAGAACUGUUGUUUAAGCCACUAGUCUGUGAUAUUUUGUUCUGGCAGCCCGAACAACCUAAUACACAGUCUUAAGAGGUAGAUAUCAUCCCCAUUUAUAUUUGAAGAAACUGAGGCUCAGAGGGUUUGACAGGUAGCAAGCCACUCUAAGCACGUCUUGGAUGUAGUGCCAUACCCUGUAAUGCACCAUCCAAUGAGACCAGGACCCAACUGGGCCUUCACUUGACCAAAGGAUGAUAUAUAGGCCUAUCAUUGAUAUGUUAGUGUGAGCAACAAAUGCCAGAACCAAAUGAUACCAGUUGCAAACAGUAGAUCAUAGCCAGGAGAGACCAUUUCAUGUCAUGACAUCACCGUCUUGUUUGAGUGAAUGCUGCAGCUACCAUUGUGGGACAUUGUUAGGGACCGUGCCUGGCAUGUGGGAAACUACAACUAUUGCCCCAGUCAAGGAACUUAAUUCAUCCUCCUCAAUGUGCAGGAUUGGCUGCGUCUCUGGACACAGUCUGGACUUUCUACCAUUGUACCAUCUAUAAGAGGCAGUGGGGCAAAUAAAAGAUAGAAAUUAAAGAGAAGGCCAAAGUAUCACUUGACAUUAGCAUAAAAUAAGUCAAAUCAAUAAAAAGGCAAGUCAUUUAAAAAUAGGCAAGUUACCUGAAUCUAUACUUUAUUCCUUUGAGACAAGCACUUUAUAAAAUAUUACAUUGCUCAGUUAUCAAAAUGGCUAUAUGAACCUGGUAUUGUUGUCAUCCCAUUUUUCCAGAGAAAACUGAAGUAAAGGGAAAUAAGUCCCUGAGUGCAUGUGGCCAACAAGAGAACCAGGAUCUAGAAAUGAAGGACACAGAAGUGCAGAGCUCAUGCUUCUAACCUUUAAGGACUAUGAAGUAGCAGAGAGGGAUUGGGAUGAGGUAGUCACAGGAGUGGCUGAAGGAAGAUAAAAGACGGAAAAAUUUCUCCUCUAAAGGAGUAGAACAGUGUUGCUUAGAUCUUAGCCCUGACUACACUUCUCUCGUAACUCUGCACUCAACCUUCCUGCUUAGUUUCACCUCUUAUCUUGCCCUCAGACUGCUCCGUUACCAACUGAGUUGACAAAUUCAUGUCCACUCAGAACCUCAAAUGUGACCUAGUUUGCAAACAGGGUCUUUGUAGAUGUAACCAAACUAAGGGAAGUUUAUAGUGGAUUAGAGUGGGCCCUCCCAAAUCCAAUGUUUGCUGUUCUUAAGAAAACACACACACACACACACACACACACACACACACAUGCACACACACACGGAAAAAUGUGUCAUGUAAAAGUGGAGGCAGAGAUUGGAGUGAUGUAUCUACAAGGUAAGGGACACCAAGGGUUGCCAAGAACCACCAGGAUCCAGGAGACAGCUAUGGAACAGAAUCUCCCUCAAAGCCUCCAGUAGAAACUAAUCCUGCUAACAUCUGGAGUUUGUACUUCCAGCCUUCACAGC